GACGAACGCUGGCGGCGCGCUUAACACAUGCAAGUCGAACGGAAAGGCCUGCUUUCCCUUGUGGAUUGCGGGUACUCGAGUGGCGAACGGGUGAGUAACACGUGAGUGAUCUGCCCCCAACUUGGGUGUAAACCUGGGAAAAUGGGUCUAAUUCCCGCUAGGACUGCAGGGGGGGGCCUGUGGUGGCGAACGUUUUUUUAGCGGUUGGGGAUGAACUCGGGGGCUGUCGGAUUGUUGGUGGGGUAAUGGGCUACCAAGGCGGCGACGGGUAGCCGGCCUGGACGGUGGGACGGAGACACUGGCCAGGCGACUACGGGAGGCAGCAGUGGGGAGUCAUGCACGAUGGGCGGAAGACUGAGGCAGCGACGCUGCGUGGGCGAUGCCGGGCGUCGGGUUGUGGACUCCUGGUGGCAGCGAGGAAGCGACCUGGUUGGAAGGGGGGUGACGGUAGUGGGAGAAGAAGCACCGGCUAACUACGUG
This 480-nucleotide ribosomal RNA is filed under the name uncultured bacterium. Its description in RNAcentral is "partial 16S ribosomal RNA". It matches the Rfam family "Bacterial small subunit ribosomal RNA", at positions 28 to 507 of the family's 1533-position model. The record is from RNAcentral.